This 140-nucleotide ribosomal RNA is filed under the name Acanthamoeba sp. RNAcentral's name for it is "partial small subunit ribosomal RNA". It matches the Rfam family "Eukaryotic small subunit ribosomal RNA", at positions 854 to 993 of the family's 1831-position model. Lineage: Eukaryota; Discosea; Longamoebia; Acanthamoebidae. The record is from RNAcentral.
GGACCAGGGUAAUGAUUAAUAGGGAUAGUUGGGGGCAUUAAUAUUUAAUUGUCAGAGGUGAAAUUCUUGGAUUUAUGAAAGAUUAACUUCUGCGAAAGCAUCUGCCAAGGAUGUUUUCAUUAAUCAAGAACGAAAGUUAG